Molecule: long non-coding RNA, 294 nt
Filed under: Trifolium pratense (red clover)
Lineage: Eukaryota; Viridiplantae; Streptophyta; Magnoliopsida; Fabales; Fabaceae
Description: long non-coding RNA (TPRA_LNC013977)
Source: RNAcentral
CAGGCACUUCAGGACGGGGAUCGGGGACGAAGCAUCCGUGCCCCGAAUCCGUCCAUAUAUGAUUAUGCAUACUUUGCUAUGAAAUAUUUUGGCUGUUAGAUUUUGUAUGAUUAUUAGUAGCCAAAUGUUUUUGCAAUGUUUUUUGGUUAUGAAUGCGUUAUGUGUUGUUUUUAUUUAUCUAAAAAGAAAGAUGCAAAAUAUUUAUUUUUUGAAAUAAGAGAAAAAAAAAUAACGUCAUACUACUGUCAUUAUUUGACCGAAAAAUAUAGAAAUUUUGUUAAUAUUUGAUAUCCG